ACUCUAAAUACAAAUGGCAUUCGUUGCAGAGGAGAAAGUGACUUUCAAGAGGAAGAAAUAGAGAAAACCAGGAAAAAUUCAGUGCAGUUUUUACUCCCUCAGUUCUCUCAGAUCUCAUUUAAAAUACUCCCACCAGCUGAAUGUGGACAGAACUGUGAAGAGCUUUCUGUAGAAAACUCACGGUUUGCAGAGACAAAGUCAGAGCGCCCUACCCUCAGAAACGGAAGCCAGGAGUGUAAAUGGAAAGUACACGGUACCGCCUGUCUGUGCAGAUCUUCUCUGGAAAGAACUCACCCUUGGCAAGGUUUGGCUGAAUCCCUGGAUGGGGAACCCUUGGCUAAAGGAAGGCCAACUGCAUUUGAAGAGAAAUAUCCACACACUGCAGAGGAGAAAGUGAUCGGGCUAUUGAUGCUGAGGGGUUAAAAUAAAAUGAAAACAAAUAGGGUUGGCUUGUGCCUGGAAUAACGUACACCACCAGGUCGGUAGGUGGGACUAUGAAC
Molecule: long non-coding RNA, 500 nt
Filed under: Chinchilla lanigera (long-tailed chinchilla)
Lineage: Eukaryota; Metazoa; Chordata; Mammalia; Rodentia; Chinchillidae
Description: lncRNA (ENSCLAG00000028391.1)
Source: RNAcentral